This is a long non-coding RNA of Acinonyx jubatus (cheetah), 5553 nucleotides long. RefSeq lists it as uncharacterized. Lineage: Eukaryota; Metazoa; Chordata; Mammalia; Carnivora; Felidae. The transcript is spliced from 4 exons. The record is from RefSeq and is a predicted model, not a curated record.
UCUAAAACUAUCCUAAAAUAGGAAGUUUAUUAAAAAAAACGGAAUAAUACCAUCAAACAUUAUUUAGUAAGUGGUUGCUAUUAAAUGGUAAUAAAUGAUAAUGAGACUGAGAAAUUUUUAUUCACUCAAAUGGCCUACAGGGAGAGCACUUAGAGGAAUGCCUGACAAGGCCAGUUCCCAUAGGAGCUAAAAUUUCAAGGGCAUGGAUACUGGCUGAGGCCAAGGUUUCAGAGAAGGGGUACCAUUAUUCUUUAUGAGACUAGGAAGGGUUUUUUUUUUUUCUCCUUCUGAAGGGGAGGAGGAAGCAGAAUAAACAAUAAUGGACAUUUAUUGAGUACUGAAUUGUGCCAAAUGCUUUAUCUAUUCUAAGUGCUUUAUCUCGCUGAAUCUUGAUGAGGUAGGUACCACUGUUUCCCUAGAAAGAAGGAAAGAGAGAAAAAAGUGAGGCCCGGAGACCUUGACCUGCCCAAUAACAUACAGUUAAGAAGGGAUAGGGAGUAUGAAGUAGGAUUUGAACCCAGGAAGCUUGGCUCCAGAGCCGUCUCCGUGAGGCUACUUGCCAAGAAAUAUGUCGGUGCCCUGUGACCACUCAAAUUCCACUGCAGUGUUUCUAAAUUCCUGGAAUGUGUGGUGUGAGCUUAUUUUCUGUACAAACAAGAAAAGGGUUGAUUUUUCUAUCUUUGAUGACUUUGGACUAUCAAAGGCCAGUGAGAGUUUAGGUCAAGUUUACUUAGAUCUCUGAGUCUCAGGACAAGGGGGCGGGGUGGGGGCUUAGUACUUAGCUGACACUGGAUAACACUAUUAUUACUGCUGGUCAUUGCCUUCCUGCCCCACUACCUACCCACCCCUCACUCAGUACCCUAGAGGCCCCUUCAAGUUGGGCUACUUCCUUAGGGGAAACAGGAUGUCUCUUCUACAGGCUUGGGCCAGGUCUCUGGGGGUUUGGGGUGGGAAGAGGCUGUCUAAUUGGUUAACACGGAGCUAGGCACCAGAGAGGAAGUAAUGUUUCCGGGAGUUGAGGAAACUGCCAUUUCCUCCUCCAGCAGGAAGCGCCCUUGGCUAUUCUCAGCACCCUGUGGCCAUGUGGGGCAAUGGAAAUCACAGCCUGGCAGUGUCUCAGAUUUGCCUCCUGCAGUUUAACAAUCUCCCAGUCAAAAUAAACUGGCUCCUUCAGUCUCCAGGGCACGGUUAAGGUAAUAAUUGAGAGAGAGAAGCCAGAGACCUGGCUGUUGCAUAAAGGCAUGGAAAGACUUUUAUAUCAGACUGGUAUUGGCUGCUUGUGCCUCAUUAAAGUGGUUUAAUUGAAGCAUUGUGAAGACAAACAAACCAAGAGAUUCAGUUACGGUUUCUCGAAUAGCUAGUCUCUGCCUCAGGAGAAUCUGUACUGAUGGGGGUAAGGGAGACCGUUGCUCCCUUAAGCGUGUAUGUAGAUAAGUUUUAAACAGUAAAGCAGCACGAUUCUGGAGAAAGGGAACUGGAAAAUGGAUCAUAGAGAUUUGGGUUCAAAUUUGAACUUCACCAGACAUGCUGUUUUGUGACAGUCACAACAUGGCUGACCUGUGGUUUCUUCAGGUGGCAAAACCUGCCCUGUUUACCUCUCGGCGUUGCUCUAAAAUCAACCUUGAUUUCCUCCCGUGCCUUAUCUCCUCAUGUCCGCCAGUUCUAAAUAGCCUUGGAGACUCCCUCCCUCCUUCCCUCCCUCCUUUCUUCCUAUCAUUCCUCCUGUAAAAGUUCACUGAGUACCUACUUAAUGUUUGGAAGUGAUCUUGCCUUUGGGGAAUUCCACAGGGAAUGAUAGAGAAUUUACGUUCAUUUGAGAAAGCGGAUGACAAACAAGUAAAUACAAACACGAGAUAAUUUUGUAGUGUGAUCAGAGCUAUGAAAGAAAAUACACAUAUGUGUCAACAGAAAGCAGUUCUGUGGGGAGGGGUCGCUCUACACGAGGGGGUGGCGGCCUCUCUGAGGAGGCCAUAUUUGAAUGAUUGCCUAACUGGGACGCCUGGGUGGCUCCGUCAGUGGAGCAUCUGACUCUUGAUUUCGGCUCAGGUCAUGAUCCUGGGGUUGUGGGACUGAGCCCCGAGUUGGCUGAGUGUGGAGCAUGCUUAAGAUUCUCUCUCUCCCUCUUGCCCCUCUCCCCUGCUGUCUCUCAGAAUUAAUAAAUAAAUAAAAUGAAUGAUGCCUAAAAAAAAAAAAUGAAUGAUGCCUAACUGAUGAGACAAAGUCAGCUGUUUCAGGGGGUGGGUCCCUGGGAGGGGGCAGGGCAACUGAUCACUGAUAAUUUGUGUGUAUUAGGGGAUUCUCGAUACCAGAGAUGUGGUGAUGAGGCAGAGCGUUUCGGUCUGUGCUUUUAUGGAGUUUAUGUUUGAGAAGAAGGGACAGAGAAAAAUAAACACACAGAGUGCCUGCUAUGUGCUAGACUGAUGUGAGGGGCUGGCAGUACCAGGGUAGAUGAAAGUCCAGUCCUUGCCCUCACCUCUCAUUGAUCUUGGAGCGACGAGAAUGCAGUGCCUGGAUUACCAAUUCCUACAGCAGGGCUCAUGGGACUCCCCAGAUUAGUUAACUAGGCUCACCAAACCACGGGAUUGCUGGCAGGAUGGAUGCUGGUAAGUAGCGGCAACCCCUGUUACGGUUGGAAGAUUUCAAGCAGAUUUCAGGAAGGUUGACAUAACUGGUUUGCAUUUUUAAAGAUCUCUCUGCAUUGGAGGAGGGAAAAAGAGGAAGCUGGGAGAACCAUUUGGAGCUACUCCAAAGAGAGAUGAUGGUGGCUGGGCCCGGGAGGAGGGAGGCAGGUGAGAUAGGGCAGAAAGGACAAAAUUGAACCUGGUCGCUUAGCAGUUGAGUGGCAGUGACACGGCUCUUAACUUCUCUACAUCAUUUUCCAAAUCCAUAGUAUGGUUGUAUCAAUUCUUAGCUCUCAGGAUUAUAGAGAUACAUUAAGUGUAUCUACCACAAUGAAGGUCCCCAAUAAUUGGCAUUAUUAGUAUUAACAUCCAGACUCCUUAUGUGACAUGCAAGUCCCUUUGUGUUCUGGACUCAAAUAACUCUGGGUAGAAGAGAAGGGGAGGGUCUUCCAUGUUCAGCCGAUACAUGUGCUUUUCCCAUCCUGUGGUGGAACCUUCCAAAAUGGGAAAAAGUUGUCCUAUAGCCAGUCAUGAAACUUCUUCUUUUGGUCCCAGGGGAUUUUUGCCCCUAGUCCCAUCAUUCAGCAUCCACAUCUUGACCAGCACAGAGUGCAGUUUGUCAUGUCUUCAGUCUGCAAAUAUUGACAAAAGAAUGAGAGUUGGCCCAAUGCACUUUAAUGAGUAAGAAACAAACAAGCUUGCUCAAAUUUCCAGGAAUUUUCUCCCGAACCGAGUUGCAAUGUGGUUUUUGCCACUCCCCAAAACCAAUGUCCUAAGCUCAGGAAAGCCCCCUGUUAUUGCUGUCACUCCAAAAUGUUUUCACCAAAAUCAGUGGGUUGAGUGAUUUCCUUGAGAAUAAUAACUUUGCACAAUACAGACAGAGCCUCAGUCUGCAAUGGAGAUAUGCAUUCCUGGCAGAAAGACCAUAGAAGUUAUACCAAUUCGGAAGGAUUUAAGUGGAAUGAUACAACACAGACUGAAGAAGGUUGAUGCCUUGGUAUCUUUGGGAGUACUCAUGCUGACCAUCGGCAUCCACCUCCGUCUGUCAAACCCCUCCCCACACCGUCCUCGCUGGGAGUUUAACUAGGUCAACUGCCACCUUCCGGAGGAAGCGUCCUGGGUGCACCCGCUUCCCCAACAGAAUCAAUCCAUAGCACCGUCGCUUUCCUAUUCUUGCCUGUUCACACGUCCGUUUUGCCCACUGGCCUGGAAGCUCCUGGGGGGCACAGGCGGUGUUGUCAUCCCUGAGAUCUUCCCAGUGCCUAGCCAAGGACCGUGGACUUGGUACAUAUCGGAUGAAGGAGUGAUUGCAGGAAGAUCAUGGUCACACCAUGACAGAACAACAACCUGCUUGUUUUGGUGGAACGCGUGAGUGGAGGCUCUGUUGGUGUCCAUUCUGCCAACUGCUUUGCCCUUCCUUGUGCCGAGUGCCGUUCCUUCUCUUGUCCUGAGAAAUCUUGCUGUCUGUCUGCGGCCCCACCUCCCCUGGGAGCCAGCACCGCAGGGUCCCCUUGGUACGUGCUCAGCACUGUUCUUCCUUAGCUGCUGUUCCCUCGGUUCUUUUGCACAAAUUACAUGUUUCUUCCAGCUUUAAUCAACACAACCUUGAAUCCUCAUCAGACUCUCUGCCCUCUCUCCAACCAGUGCUUAAAGGACACUCUUCCCCUCAGCAGAGAUGGUAUAAUUUUCAUAAACAUGGGUCAUUUCCCCCUUGCAUCAAUGUCAGAUACGAAACCACCACUUAACAAGACGUACCAGAAAUGCAGAAUGUCUGAACACAGGCUGGGGACAAUAGUAUUUUCUUUUCUUUUUUUUUUUCCGUUCUCUAGUUCUGUUAAAUUGCUCUCCCAAAAUAAUCCUAAUGCUUUAUUUACUUCAGCUCUGGGUUUAUUUUGAGAUGAACUUUCCUGAAGCUGAGUCUUAGGAUGUGAUUCUUAUCCUGGUCACAUCCUGGGGAGUUGUUUUGUGACUUGUUUGAAUGGGCUCUGGCUUUUCCAGGGAGCCCCCUGGCACCGAGGAAGAGGCCAGAGGAUGUCAACUCCCGUGUGCAGUACAAAGGCAGAGAUGGCAAACCGUCAGCUUUGGGUGGAAGUGUUCCCUAGAGGAAAGCCUCGUCUCCUGGGCUCAGGCACGACAGACACCGGCAGAAGCAAACUCAGCUCAGACUUUAUCAGUUAUCUGUUCCGGAGACUGAGGUGUCUCAUAGUUUCCAACAUCUGAGUGAUUUGUGAACGUUAGGAAUUCAGACGCUGGAUGAUUAAAACGGCCAGUGCUGGGAAUUUUCUCAUUUCAGGAAAUUUUGGUCGUGAGGCAUGCUGGAACCUCCCCAGCAGGCAGACCCGAAGGGCAGGAAGUCCAGACCGGGGGUGGGGAUGAGACUGUGAGAAUGGACCAGAAGGCGGCGCGAGCCUUCACUAUCAUGUCAGACAGAUCUGUGUGGGAAUCCUGCUUCCCUGGGCCUCAGUUUCUUGACUGGCAAAAUGGGGAUGAUAAUUUCUACCUCACAGGAGUGUCGUGACCAUUAAAUCCGAUAAUGUCAUGCCUGGCACACAGUCAGGGCCCGGGGCAUGUGAAUUCCCCUCCGUUUCUAUAGGUGGAUGACAAGCGGUGGUGAGUGGUGCAUCCGAGCGGGAAGCUGGAGGUCAAGGGACUGGGGCUGACUCUUGGAGGUUGUGGGGGAGGGGGCUGGCCAAGCCAUGCGGGCUGUUGCAGUCAUGAGGCUCAGGGCAGGGUUUCAGUCCAAACUCUGAUCUGCAGGAGGAAGCUCCUACAGCCGCAGGUUGAUCCCGGGUCUGUUGUAUAAAACAGCGGUUCUCGAAGUGUAGUCUGAGGGCCCCGGAGGAACCUGACACACAGUUACUUUGCUACAGUAGCAAUCACUCUGGGACUCACCCCCGCGCGCGUGCACAGUAAACAAAGAAAAAAACCAAAA